CAGGGAGACAACAAAAUGUUAAAUAUUAAUUUUGUCACCUUAGGUCGAUCGGUAUCUCACAUUCUUAAACAUAUUAAGAAUUUUAUUUCCUAAGUUUUUUCUAGGUCACACCCAAAUUUUCCUGGGCCAUUAGCUCAGGUGGUUAGAGCGCACCCCUGAUAAGGGUGAGGUCCCUGGUUCAAGUCCAGGAUGGCCCAUAUCUCUAUGUUGGGGGUAUAGCUCAGUUGGUAGAGCGCCUGCUUUGCAAGCAGGAUGUCAGCGGUUCGAGUCCGCUUACCUCCACUGAUCACCACCUCUUCCAUAAUUUAUAGAAGGGAAAAUUCUUGAGUCGUGAUUAAAUUCUGAACGAAUCUAGCUUCCUAAUAACUUUAUUAAGAUGCUGGACUCAUUGAAUUAAUUUCAUUGUUUUCAGAGAACCUUGACAACUGCAUAGAUUAUUUUUAAAGACAAUAAGCAUCUUUAAUGAUGCAGAUUUAUUAUUUGUGCGAAUGCAUUAAUAACAAUUCUAUUAAGCUGAUGCUUCAA
This 525-nucleotide transfer RNA is filed under the name uncultured Prochlorococcus sp. RNAcentral's name for it is "partial 16S-23S ribosomal RNA intergenic spacer". The stretch from base 210 to 282 matches the Rfam family "tRNA". The record is from RNAcentral. Lineage: Bacteria; Bacillati; Cyanobacteriota; Cyanophyceae; Synechococcales; Prochlorococcaceae.